UUGGAGGGCAAGUCUGGUGCCAGCAGCCGCGGUAAUUCCAGCUCCAAUAGCGUAUAUUAAAGUUGUUGCAGUUAAAAAGCUCGUAGUUGAAUUUCGGGAUUGACGUGACGGUCAUGCCUUAAGGGGUAUGAACUGUUACUGUUGAUUUCUCACCUUCUGGAGAAACUUGAUGUCCUUUAUUGGGUGUCUUGCGGAUCCAGGACCUUUACCUUGAAAAAAUUAGAGUGUUUAAAGCAGGCAUUUUUGCUCGAAUACAUUAGCAUGGAAUAAUAGAAUAGGACGGCAUGGUUCUAUUUUGUUGGUUUCUAGGAUCACCGUAAUGAUUAAUAGGGAUAGUUGGGGGCAUUAGUAUUCAAUUGUCAGAGGUGAAAUUCUUGGAUUUAUUGAAGACUAACUACUGCGAAAGCAUUUGCCAAGGAUGUUUUCAUUAAUCAAGAACGAAAGUUAGGGGAUCGAAGACGAUCAGAUACCGUCGUAGUCUUAACCAUAAACUAUGCCGACUAGGAAUCAGACGAUGUUAAUUUUUUAAUGACUCAUUCGGCGCCUUACGGGAAAC
RNAcentral lists this ribosomal RNA (556 nucleotides) under uncultured Glomerales. RNAcentral's name for it is "SSU rRNA". It matches the Rfam family "Eukaryotic small subunit ribosomal RNA", at positions 548 to 1098 of the family's 1831-position model. The record is from RNAcentral. Lineage: Eukaryota; Fungi; Glomeromycota; Glomeromycetes; Glomerales; Glomeraceae.